AACGAACGCUGGCGGCAGGCUUAACACAUGCAAGUCGAACGCCCCGCAAGGGGUGUGGCAGACGGGUGAGUAACGCGUGGGAACAUACCCUUUUCUACGGAAUAGCUCUGGGAAACUGGAAUUAAUACCGUAUACGCCCUACGGGGGAAAGAUUUAUCGGGGAAGGAUUGGCCCGCGUUGGAUUAGCUAGUUGGUGGGGUAAAGGCCUACCAAGGCGACGAUCCAUAGCUGGUCUGAGAGGAUGAUCAGCCACAUUGGGACUGAGACACGGCCCAAACUCCUACGGGAGGCAGCAGUGGGGAAUAUUGGCCAAUGGGCGCAAGCCUGAUGCAGCCAUGCCGCGUGAGUGAUGAAGGCCUUAGGGUUGUAAAGCUCUUUCACCGAUGAAGAUAAUGACGGUAGUCGGAGAAGAAGCCCCGGCUAACUUCGUG
Molecule: ribosomal RNA, 431 nt
Filed under: uncultured bacterium
Lineage: Bacteria
Description: partial 16S ribosomal RNA
Rfam family: Bacterial small subunit ribosomal RNA
Source: RNAcentral